CAAUAAAGAAAACAUGGUAAUGAGCAUAUAAAUUCAAUUGGGUCUCUAGGCCUGCCCUCUCUGAUGCCAUUUGGCUUUGAUUUGGGGACAUAGUUCCGCAGCAAAACA
This is a small nucleolar RNA of Rhododendron vialii, 108 nucleotides long. RefSeq annotates it as small nucleolar RNA snoR100. The transcript has a single exon. The record is from RefSeq and is a predicted model, not a curated record. NCBI's taxonomy places the organism in Eukaryota, Viridiplantae, Streptophyta, Magnoliopsida, Ericales, Ericaceae.